RNAcentral lists this long non-coding RNA (349 nucleotides) under Capsicum annuum. Its description in RNAcentral is "long non-coding RNA (CANN_LNC009261)". Lineage: Eukaryota; Viridiplantae; Streptophyta; Magnoliopsida; Solanales; Solanaceae. The record is from RNAcentral.
CGGACAUAAUAUGUUCCCUAAGAAAGAAUACACUGAUUGGAAACAUGACUAUAAGAUUGGAACUACUGAUAUUUUAAAUGCUUAUGCCGGACAUGCAUAUCCGAGGCAUGGAAUACACAACUGAAGCUACUCAUAGGCUGAAUUCUCAUAAUGAAUCAUGCAUAUCUGAUGCAUGGAUCUGUGACCGAGUUGUUCUCAUGAAUGCAGGACUGAAUACACUGAUAAGCUGAACUUUUCUAUUGAACAUGCAUUUCUAAUGCAUGCAUAUCUGACUGAACUAGCGUAUGAACGUAUGGCUAAAUACGCAAUAAUAACUGAUGUGAAGCUUGUAAUAAGAAUCUAUGCAUGC